GACGAACGCUAGCGGCGUGCUUAAUACAUGCAAGUCAACUUGACUUUAGAUAGCAAUAUCGAAAAGUAGGGUGGCGCACGGGUGCGUAACGCGUAGGUAAUCUGCCCUGAGGUCUGACAUAACCCGUCGAAAGGCGGCUAACAUCAGAUGAUAUAUAAUCACGACAUCGUGGAAAUAUCAAAUCUUCGGAGCCUUGGGUGAGCCUGCGUCUGAUUAGGUAGUUGGCGGAGUAAUAGCCCACCAAGCCUACGAUCAGUAGCUGGUCUGAGAGGAUGAUCAGCCACACUGGAACUGAGACACGGUCCAGACUCCUACGGGAGGCAGCAGUAAGGAAUAUUGCUCAAUGGGGGAAACCCGU
RNAcentral lists this ribosomal RNA (358 nucleotides) under uncultured bacterium. RNAcentral describes it as "bacterial SSU rRNA". It matches the Rfam family "Bacterial small subunit ribosomal RNA", at positions 28 to 385 of the family's 1533-position model. The record is from RNAcentral.